UACGGGGGGGGUAAGCGUUGUUCGGAAUUACUGGGCGUAAAGGGCUCGUAGGCGGCCAACUAAGUCAUACGUGAAAUCCCUCAGCUUAACUGGGGAACUGCGUGUGAUACUGGAUGGCUUGGAUUUGGGAGAGGGAUGCGGAAUUCCAGGUGUAGCGGUGAAAUGCGUAGAUAUCUGGAGGAACACCGGUGGCGAAGGCGGCGUUCUGGACUGCAACUGACACUGAUAAACGAAAGCCAGGGUAGCAAACGGG
This 253-nucleotide ribosomal RNA is filed under the name uncultured bacterium. Its description in RNAcentral is "partial 16S ribosomal RNA". It matches the Rfam family "Bacterial small subunit ribosomal RNA", at positions 524 to 776 of the family's 1533-position model. The record is from RNAcentral.